UAAUACAUGCAAGUCGAACGAUCCCCUCGGGGAUAGUGGCGCACGGGUGCGUAACGCGUGGGAAUCUGCCCUUGGGUUCGGAAUAACUUCUGGAAACGGAAGCUAAUACCGGAUGAUGACGUAAGUCCAAAGAUUUAUCGCCCAAGGAUGAGCCCGCGUAGGAUUAGCUAGUUGGUGAGGUAAAGGCUCACCAAGGCGACGAUCCUUAGCUGGUCUGAGAGGAUGAUCAGCCACACUGGGACUGAGACACGGCCCAGACUCCUACGGGAGGCAGCAGUAGGGAAUAUUGGACAAUGGGGGAAACCCUGAUCCAGCAAUGCCGCGUGAGUGAUGAAGGCCUUAGGGUUGUAAAGCUCUUUUACCCGGGAUGAUAAUGACAGUACCGGGAGAAUAAGCUCCGGCUAACUCCGUGCCAGCAGCCGCGGUAAUACGGAGGGAGCUAGCGUUGUUCGGAAUUACUGGGCGUAAAGCGCACGUAGGCGGCUAUUCAAGUCAGAGGUGAAAGCCCGGGGCUCAACCCCGGAACUGCCUUUGAAACUAGAUAGCUUGAAUCCAGGAGAGGUGAGUGGAAUUCCGAGUGUAGAGGUGAAAUUCGUAGAUAUUCGGAAGAACACCAGUGGCGAAG
This 625-nucleotide ribosomal RNA is filed under the name uncultured Alphaproteobacteria bacterium. RNAcentral describes it as "bacterial SSU rRNA". It matches the Rfam family "Bacterial small subunit ribosomal RNA", at positions 49 to 720 of the family's 1533-position model. Lineage: Bacteria; Pseudomonadati; Pseudomonadota; Alphaproteobacteria. The record is from RNAcentral.